CUAUGAGACAGAUAAGGCAAGUGAAGAUGAUACCACACUUCGGUACUUAGAAGUUUCGUGAUUACUCAGCGGCUUGGAUCUUGCAAGUCCCCAACCAAGGAGCUUCCCUUACUCGAGAACUUAGGGGAGCACUGUUUGUACCAUACUUGACCAAUCCCGAAACUACCGAGCACUGAUCAACGUUAUACCUUCAAGGACCCAUAAGAGUUUCCCUCAAACCAGGAGGCCAAUCAUAGCACGACACGUGUCGACAUCAGAAGCCAAUCAUAGCGCGACACGUGUCAACAUCGGAAGCCAAUCAUAACACGAUACGUGUCAAUGUCAGAACAAAGCUAGAAACUCUCUUCUAUAAAAGGAGAUCAUUCUCCCAC
RNAcentral lists this long non-coding RNA (371 nucleotides) under Malus domestica (apple). RNAcentral's name for it is "long non-coding RNA (MDOM_LNC020425)". Lineage: Eukaryota; Viridiplantae; Streptophyta; Magnoliopsida; Rosales; Rosaceae. The record is from RNAcentral.